CACAACCUAGUAGGCUGUGUGUCCACUAAUACUGGAUGGUGGAUCACAACCUAGUGGGUUGUG
Molecule: microRNA precursor, 63 nt
Filed under: Cordylochernes scorpioides
Lineage: Eukaryota; Metazoa; Arthropoda; Arachnida; Pseudoscorpiones; Chernetidae
Source: RNAcentral